GAUGAACGCUGGCGGCGUGCCUAAUACAUGCAAGUCGAGCGAACCCUCCAGAACCUUUCUUCUCUGAUUUUAUCGCCCGACGGGUCAGUAACACGUGUUUAACCUACCUAUAAGACUGGGAUAACUUCGCGAAACCAUAUCUUAUACCCGAUAAUAUUUUGAACCGCAUUGUUCCAAAGUUAAAUACGCUCUUUCUGUCACUUAUAGAUUAAUCAGCCCUGCAUUAGUUACUUGGUAAGGUAACGGCUUACCAACGCAACGAGGCAUAGCCGACAUGAGCGGGAGAACGGCCAGACGGGAACUGAGACAGAGUCGAGACACCGACGGGAGGAAGCAGUAGGGAAUCUUCCGCGAUGGGGGAAAGCGUGACAGAGCAAAGAGGAGUGAGGGAUGAAGGUGUAAGGAUCGGAAAACGCUGUAAGUAGGGAAGAAGAUAAGUGUAAGUAAAUGUGAAGAUAUUGACAGUACCUAAAGAGAAAGCUACGGCUAACUCCGUG
This 497-nucleotide ribosomal RNA is filed under the name uncultured bacterium. RNAcentral describes it as "partial 16S ribosomal RNA". It matches the Rfam family "Bacterial small subunit ribosomal RNA", at positions 28 to 507 of the family's 1533-position model. The record is from RNAcentral.